CUAAGUCUGAUGUGAAAGCCUUCGGCUUAACCGGAGAAGUGCAUCGGAAACUGGAUAACUUGAGUGCAGAAGAGGGUAGUGGAACUCCAUGUGUAGCGGUGGAAUGCGUAGAUAUAUGGAAGAACACCAAUGGCGAAGGCGGCUACCUGGUCUGCAACUGACGCUGAGACUCGAAAGCAUGGGUAGCGAACAGGAUUAGACUACCCUGGUAG
RNAcentral lists this ribosomal RNA (212 nucleotides) under uncultured bacterium. Its description in RNAcentral is "partial 16S ribosomal RNA". It matches the Rfam family "Bacterial small subunit ribosomal RNA", at positions 583 to 793 of the family's 1533-position model. The record is from RNAcentral.